GACGUAGGGGGCCAGCGUUGUUCGGAAUUACUGGGUGUAAAGGGUUCGUAGGCGGUGCGGCAAGUCGGGAGUGAAAUCUCUGGGCUCAACCCAGAGGCUGCUUCCGAAACUGCUGUGCUUGAGUGUGGGAGAGGCGCGUGGAAUUGCAGGUGUAGCGGUGAAAUGCGUAGAUAUCGGGAGGAACAUCAGUGGCGAAGGCGGCUGCCUGGCCCAAUACUGACACUCAGGUGCGACAGCGUGGGGAGCAAACAGG
Molecule: ribosomal RNA, 253 nt
Filed under: uncultured bacterium
Lineage: Bacteria
Description: partial 16S ribosomal RNA
Rfam family: Bacterial small subunit ribosomal RNA
Source: RNAcentral